This 529-nucleotide ribosomal RNA is filed under the name uncultured eukaryote. RNAcentral's name for it is "bacterial SSU rRNA". It matches the Rfam family "Eukaryotic small subunit ribosomal RNA", at positions 444 to 873 of the family's 1831-position model. The record is from RNAcentral.
CCCAAUCCUAAUACGGGGAGGUAGUGACAAUAAAUAACAAUGCUGAUACUAUGUAUUAGUAAUUGGAAUGAGAACAAUUUAAAACCCCUUAUCGAGUAACCAUCAGAGGGCAAGUCUGGUGCCAGCAGCCGCGGUAAUUCCAGCUCUGAUAGCGUAUAUUAAAGUUGUUGCAGUUAAAAAGCUCGUAGUUGGAUAUUAGAAUUAAUUUGUAUGGUCGGUUGUGAUAAACAAUCUUGUACUGUAUAAGUGAUUCUUUCCUACUGGUUACUCGACUCUGUCCUUUACUGGAUGGAGUAGUGUCGCAAGGCAUCGCUUAGUGUUAUAUUGCCUGUAAGUGUAGUUAUUGGGUAAAACUGGUAGUGAAACUUAUGGGAUCACAGUAUGAUAUUAAGUGGGGUUCCAGUUCAUUUACUUUGAGUAAAUUAGAGUGUUCAAAGCAGCCUCUUGGGGCAUUGAAUAGAUUAGCAUGGGAUAAUAGAAUAGGACUCUUGUCUUUUUAUUGGUUUAAAGAUUUAGAGUAAUGAUUAAU